This 357-nucleotide ribosomal RNA is filed under the name uncultured Glomeromycotina. RNAcentral's name for it is "LSU rRNA". Lineage: Eukaryota; Fungi; Glomeromycota. The record is from RNAcentral.
UUGAAAGGGAAACGAUUGAAGUCAGUCGUGCUGGCGUGAAAUCAAUUUCGUGCAGCUUGGACUUCACCGUUAAGCGAGCCUUAAAACCGCUUAACGGUGAAGUCCAGUUGUGCGGGGUGCACUUUUACAUCAGCUGGUUAGCAUCAAUUUCGACUGUCAUAAAAAGGCUAGAGGGAUGUGGCUCCUUCGGGAGUGUUAUAACCUUUAGCGGAAUGUGGUGGUUGAGAUUGAGGUUUGCAGCGGAUAUUUCUUCUACCUGGCCUCUUGUUGGUGUCUUGGUAGCGACAGCGUGCUGACGUUAUUAGGAUCAGCCGGCGAAAAGGUUAGAGUGGAAGAUUCGUUAAGGAUGUUGACGUA